RNAcentral lists this ribosomal RNA (252 nucleotides) under uncultured bacterium. RNAcentral describes it as "partial 16S ribosomal RNA". It matches the Rfam family "Bacterial small subunit ribosomal RNA", at positions 524 to 776 of the family's 1533-position model. The record is from RNAcentral.
UACGUAGGUGGCAAGCGUUGUCCGGAAUUAUUGGGCGUAAAGCGCGCGCAGGCGGUUAUGUAAGUCUGAUGUUAAAGCCCGAGGCUCAACCUCGGUUCGCAUUGGAAACUGUGUAACUUGAGUGCAGAAGAGGAAAGUGGUAUUCCACGUGUAGCGGUGAAAUGCGUAGAGAUGUGGAGGAACACCAGUGGCGAAGGCGACUUUCUGGUCUGUAACUGACGAUGAGGCGCGAAAGAGUGGGGAGCAAACAGG